This is a long non-coding RNA of Gavia stellata (red-throated loon), 745 nucleotides long. RefSeq lists it as uncharacterized. NCBI's taxonomy places the organism in Eukaryota, Metazoa, Chordata, Aves, Gaviiformes, Gaviidae. The record is from RefSeq and is a predicted model, not a curated record. The transcript is spliced from 4 exons.
UGGAAAUACAGGAUUUGGUGCUAUGCAAAAUGCAGACUUGCCUAAGCAAAGAAGAAAUCAAGACUUAGACUAAAAUUCUUGAUAAACUCUUGCCAGGACUUUGAAGGAAAAAAAGCUGUGACAGAUUACAUAGUAAUGCAAUCUUCUAUGUUACCAUUUGAAGGGAAAUCUGUCUUUAGUUUAACCUGGACCAAUGUUAGAGGAGUGAUGCUUCAAAUGAGCCAGCAUAAAGGAUGGAGGCUUGGUGCUGGCCUGUGGCCUAAUCACAUACAGCAUGGAGACUCUUCGUGGGAAAGUUGCAUUAUGUGUGUUGACCACAAGAUGGCGGAAUUUCCUAUCGCACCUUCCCACUCAGAACUGCUUCACCCGGCUUUCUGAGCCGUGGGGAGCCAGUGACUGCUGCUUCUGCCUUGCGUGGAAAUGACAUGGGAUAUGGAUAUUCAUUAUUAGAGGAAGAAGCAAACAAAACAGUACUUAAGGCCUAAUCCUGCAACAAUAUAAGCACUUCAGCAAUAUUAACUCAAAGAAGUAGUUCCACAGAAGUCAGCUACUCAUUAAAGCAAACUUGUUCUGUGCUGGAAGCUAUCUUCAGCGUUAGGAAAAUGGAUUGCUGACAUAGCUAUGCUCCCAAAACAUUUAAAAAUGCUGAGCAACCACUGGCAAGGUCUGCUGCUUUCAAUUAAUAAAAACUAUGCUGUGCUCAUUACAAAAAUAUCUGCAUAAUAAGACUGCAUAGGAAAAUGCC